Molecule: ribosomal RNA, 497 nt
Filed under: uncultured bacterium
Lineage: Bacteria
Description: partial 16S ribosomal RNA
Rfam family: Bacterial small subunit ribosomal RNA
Source: RNAcentral
GAUGAACGCUGGCGGCGUGCCUAAUACAUGCAAGUCGAGCGAACAGACGAGGAGCUUGCUCCUCUGACGUUAGCGGCGGACGGGUGAGUAACACGUGGAUAACCUACCUAUAAGACUGGGAUAACUUCGGGAAACCGGAGCUAAUACCGGAUAAUAUAUUGAACCGCAUGGUUCAAUAGUGAAAGACGGUUUUGCUGUCACUUAUAGAUGGAUCCGCGCCGCAUUAGCUAGUUGGUAAGGUAACGGCUUACCAAGGCAACGAUGCGUAGCCGACCUGAGAGGGUGAUAGGCCACACUGGAGCUGAGACACGGUCCAGACUCCUACGGGAGGCAGCAGUAGGGAAUCUUACGCAAUGGGCGAAAGCCUGACGGAGCAACGCCGCGUGAGUGAUGAAGGUCUUCGGAUCGUAAAACUCUGUUAUUAGGGAAGAACAAAUGUGUAAGUAACUAUGCACGUCUUGACGGUACCUAAUCAGAAAGCCACGGCUAACUACGUG